Molecule: ribosomal RNA, 436 nt
Filed under: uncultured bacterium
Lineage: Bacteria
Description: partial 16S ribosomal RNA
Rfam family: Bacterial small subunit ribosomal RNA
Source: RNAcentral
AUGAACGCUGGCGACGUGGAUAAGGCAUGCAAGUCGAAUGGUGAGAGCAAUCGAACCAUGGCGAACGAGGUAGUAACACGUAGGAACGCACCCCCGAGUCGGGCAUAACUCGCCGAAAGGCGAGAUAAUUCCCGAUAGUCUCGUAAGAGUAAAGAUUUAUCGCUUGGGGAGCGGCCUGCGGAGUAUCAGCUAGUUGGUAAGGUAAUGGCUUACCAAGGCUAUGACGCUUAGGGGAGGUGAGAGCCUGACCCCCACCGAUGGGACUGAGACACGGCCCAUACACCUACGGGUGGCUGCAGUCGAGAAUCUUCCGCAAUGGGCGCAAGCCUGACGGAGCGACGUCGCGUGGUGGAUGAAGUCCUUAGGGACGUAAACAUCUUUUAUGAGGGAGAAAUUUAUUGAUAGUACCUCAUGAAUAAGGACCUGCUAAACUCGU